GCUCUUCCGAUCUCUCCUGUUGGCCGUAUUGAUUGCGAUUGUCAACGGUAUCUUUGUCAGAAGCGUCUUCCAGUUCGUCCAUCUAUACUUUAAUGUUUCGCCCGUUCGCGUUUGACAUGUUUAGAAAUGCUCUUUAGUCUCGAAAGAGUAAACAAAAUUAUAAUUUUGAUAUUAUAGAAAGCGCACUAGAGAGAUAAAGAGAGUGAAAGAUGGAGCACUUCUGCAACUAGCCGUCUUGGUUGUUAUUGCAUGUAACCUGUUGAUCAGACUUUCACGUUAGAGGAUUCAAGUAACCUAAUAUUUUUAUGGAUGCGGAAAUUCCGUACCGCAUUUUUGUAUAUUUUCAUAUUUCAUCGUCGCAUUGUAUUUUUAAUUCUUUCGCCUCCGAUGUCUUGCUUCAGACGGAAAUUUAAAUUUAUCGGUGUACUUAACCAUUGAAGAACGGAGAACCAUUUUUGCUUUCGGAAACUUCGAGGCUUGAAAUAUUUAUAGACAGGUCGAAGAGUUUCAUUUAGCGAGCGAGAGCGUAUGCCAAGUAGAUUUAAAUAUUACACAGUUUUCUGAAUUGUUUUUAGCCUUCUGGCGUAGUAGAAACAUCUGGUACGGCACGGUUAAACGUUCAAGCCCACGCAAAUGUUUCGAAGAAUUGGGAGGGGAAUAAAGCAGUUUUGUAUACUCCAAAAAGAAUUGGUCAUGCUCGCAUUUAUAAAGAACCAUUCCUCUACUUUGACAAAGCCGUUUUUGCCCAGUAGAUGCACAGCUAUUCGAUCAUUUACUGAUAGAGAUCGCCGAAAGAAUUUUUGUUUUACUGGUUUAUUUUACCUUCUUUCAGGAUUAGGCACAUGUUUUACUUUUUAAAAGACGAUGGCUAAGAUAUGAUGAAACGUUACUCUGACUCUCUCUCUCUCUCUUUCUCUUCGCUAGCAUCUGACAGCUGUGACUGCGGUCAAACGAAAAGAAAACACCCUCCACUGCAUUGCAGGAAGUUCAGCUAGAAGACUAGCAGUAUACAGAUGGUGAUUAAUGACUGUACACACACACACACAGCUAUCUGCUCGGUAAUAGCAGCUCGUAUUCUGGCGACAGAAAUUACUGUUCACAAGAGCGGUUAGAUCAUCCCAACUGUAAUCUUGGUAUCAGCAAAGUGGUAAAGUUGCUGGUUUUCCACUGCUCUACCAAAUAAACGAUGCUAUUCGACGUUAUAAGCUUCCAUUUCGUGACAUUUGCCCAGUUAUGUUAUCAAUACUAUAAUUCAAUGACAAUACUAAAAGAUCAUUCUUUUACUGGAUGAUAUCCUAUACAAAAGGGUUUUUAAUUUGGACUUAUAGCAGCUUAUCUAGAUGAUUCAU
Molecule: long non-coding RNA, 1349 nt
Filed under: Androctonus crassicauda
Lineage: Eukaryota; Metazoa; Arthropoda; Arachnida; Scorpiones; Buthidae
Source: RNAcentral